GGAGGUGCUCUUAAGUGUUCUUAC
RNAcentral lists this non-coding RNA (24 nucleotides) under Arabidopsis thaliana (thale cress). Lineage: Eukaryota; Viridiplantae; Streptophyta; Magnoliopsida; Brassicales; Brassicaceae. The record is from RNAcentral.